UAUUAUAUUUUUGUAUUUCAUAUGUGAGCGUCAAAAAAAACAAGUAUAGACAAAAAGAAUAACUAUUGGGACAGAGAUAGAAUAAAAAUAUUGAAAUCUACAUUAUUUUCAGAAUAUCACAAAAGAAAUACAUAAAUAAAGGAAAGAAUAGUACAUAAUAAAAAAAGAAUAGAAUACCAAAUAUAUAUCUUCAAAGAGGCAAGGUAAAAUAAAAUAAGAAUUGAAGCUUAGCGCCAUCUCUUGAAUACUUUUAAAGAUGUCUCAAAAAUAGUAACGUCUUCUAAAACUAUCUCUUAAAAACGUCUCUUCUAACGUCUUCUAAUUAUCUAGUUACGAUUAAAAUAAAAUAUAUUUAAUAAAUAAGACAUUCUGAAAAUAUUGUGAUUUAUAAGAAAAAUAAUUUAAAGGAUGUAUUUAAGACGCUUUUAAGAAGUUCUUAUAUUAUUUAGAUUAUAUGAUAAUGCUAUAAAUAUUUACUGAAUAUUCUUUUAUAAUAGAUUAAACAGUAUGCAUAAAAAAGAAAAAAUAUAACUUUUUAAAGAAAUAUAAUUUAUUAUAAAUUAUAAAUUUAUAAUUUAUAAGAAUAUAUAUAAUAAAACGACUUAAACUUUCUGUUUAAUCAAUUAAAUUGUUCGUGAUUUCAUGCACAAAUGGGUACGUAAAAUUCAUGAAAUUUAUAUAACAAAUAUUAGUAAAAGUAAUUAAAAUACUAUAAAUUUUAUUUUAUUUUAUUAUUAUAUUUUGUCGUUACGUACUUGAUAUAUGCUGAGUACUAAAUUUAAUUUUCCACAUUUAAUAUUUUUAAUAACAAAGUCACAAUCGCGGCCAUUAUGAACAUAAGCAACGUCAUAGCUUCAGUAAAGGAAUUUCAGAACACGAUAGUUGAACGUGGUGUAAAUUUUCAUCUCAGAGUGCGCGUAGAUUAGUCGAUUCUUUUUACGAAAUUACAUCUCUUGGUUCGUAUUUUAUGACAAAUCUUUAUAACAUGUUGUAGAGUAAUACAUACGAAAAUGUUCUAUGGCUAAUGAAAACUAGUCAUGAAUUUCGGAACUGUAGAAUGUCCGUUGCGUAGAUCAAAAAUAAUAUACACUACAGGCGCCAUUACGUUGCGCCAUCUGGAUAUCAUUACGAAGAAAUUAUAUUAGCUAGAGUUUGGAAAAACUUUUGAAUAACGUUAUUACUCUUUCUGAUUAGGAGUAUUAUAUAGUAAAAUUAACGAAUUUAAAAACUAAUAUAACGCAUAGUAAUUACAUUUGCGUUAUGAUUCAGUAUAGGAGUACGUACUCCUUAUGAUUAUAUUCACUUAACCUCAAUUUGAAUGAAAAAUGAAUACCUGUGACUAUGAAUACAUAAUUUUAUAUUUGUCUUACGGUGAUAAUAAAAAAAUUCAAUCUUUCUUGAAAAAGAAAAUCGAAAAUUUUUUUAAUUUAGCAAGAAAAGACGUGAACUUCAAGAGCUUGAAAAUAUCAAUAACGACGGUAUUUUACAAGAUGUGCUAUAUGUAAUAGUUUUAUAAAAAAUU
Long non-coding RNA from Apis florea (little honeybee), 1522 nucleotides. The record is from RefSeq and is a predicted model, not a curated record. NCBI's taxonomy places the organism in Eukaryota, Metazoa, Arthropoda, Insecta, Hymenoptera, Apidae.